CAGUAACGGCGAGUGAAGCGGAAGAGCUCAAGCUUGAAAUCUCCUUGCAGUCUCUGCUCGGCGAAUUGUAGUCUAUCGAGGCGAAGUCAGCGCGCAGGAUCCGGCCAAGUUCCUUGGAAGAGGACAGCAUGGAGGGUUACACUCCCGUCUCUGCCGGCAAAUGCGCGCGUACGACUCGUCUUCUUUGAGUCGCGUUGUUUGGGAAUGCAGCGCAAAGCAGGUGGUAAAUUCCAUCUAAAGCUAAAUACCUGUGCGAGACCGAUAGCGAACAAGUACCGUGAGGGAAAGAUGAAAAGAACUUUGAAAAGAGAGUUAAAGAGUACCUGAAACUGCUGAAAGGGAAGCGAAUCGCGUCCGCUGUCCAUUCCGUGCUCAACACCGCUUCGGCGGUUGAUGCGGAGGAGUCAAAGUCAGUUUGGUGUCGAAGGUAAAGUCGACUGUGCGCGUAGCAUGGCUGCCUUUCGGGGCUGGUCCUACGAGAAACGUUGUGCGCUGCCUCGGCCAGGACUGAGGCGAUAACAGCAAUCGUGUGUGCUCCGUAAGUUUGUGCGGAGAUCGGAUAGGCAGACCCCUACCUCCUGGUGAGAUGCGGCACUAUAAAUGAGACGCAUGUACGCGAG
RNAcentral lists this ribosomal RNA (620 nucleotides) under Pustula tragopogonis. RNAcentral's name for it is "LSU rRNA". It matches the Rfam family "Eukaryotic large subunit ribosomal RNA", at positions 81 to 634 of the family's 3401-position model. Lineage: Eukaryota; Oomycota; Peronosporomycetes; Albuginales; Albuginaceae. The record is from RNAcentral.